This 283-nucleotide long non-coding RNA is filed under the name Hordeum vulgare. RNAcentral describes it as "long non-coding RNA (HVUL_LNC015957)". Lineage: Eukaryota; Viridiplantae; Streptophyta; Magnoliopsida; Poales; Poaceae. The record is from RNAcentral.
AGAAAUAGAAUAAGAACCUUGGUUAUCCCAUAAAUGCCAUAUAAUUAGCUUAUCUUCCUCGUAAAUGACAUAAUAACCUCAAUAUAACAUAAGUAUUACAAUUAUCUUAUCUUUCUUUUUGUCCUUCUCCUCCUUCUUCUUCUGCUUCUUCUUCUUCUUCUUAUUCUUCUUCUCCUUAUUCUUCUCCUUCUCCUUCUUGUUCUUCUCCUCCUUCUUGUUCUUCUCCUCCUUCUUCUUCUUCUCCUUCUCCUUCUUCUCCUUCUCCUUCUUCUUCUCCUCCUCC